RNAcentral lists this ribosomal RNA (495 nucleotides) under uncultured bacterium. Its description in RNAcentral is "partial 16S ribosomal RNA". It matches the Rfam family "Bacterial small subunit ribosomal RNA", at positions 28 to 507 of the family's 1533-position model. The record is from RNAcentral.
GACGAACGCUGGCGGCGUGCCUAAUACAUGCAAGUAGAACGCUGAAGGAGGAGCUUGCUUCUCUGGAUGAGUUGCGAACGGGUGAGUAACGCGUAGGUAACCUGCCUGGUAGCGGGGGAUAACUAUUGGAAACGAUAGCUAAUACCGCAUAAUAGUAGAUGUUGCAUGACAUUUGCUUAAAAGGUGCAAUUGCAUCACUACCAGAUGGACCUGCGUUGUAUUAGCUAGUUGGUGGGGUAACGGCUCACCAAGGCGACGAUACAUAGCCGACCUGAGAGGGUGAUCGGCCACACUGGGACUGAGACACGGCCCAGACUCCUACGGGAGGCAGCAGUAGGGAAUCUUCGGCAAUGGACGGAAGUCUGACCGAGCAACGCCGCGUGAGUGAAGAAGGUUUUCGGAUCGUAAAGCUCUGUUGUAAGAGAAGAGCGAGUGUGAGAGUGGAAAGUUCACACUGUGACGGUAUCUUACCAGAAAGGGACGGCUAACUACGUG